CAAUUUAUACAGUGAAACUGCGAAUGGCUCAUUAAAUCAGUUAUCGUUUAUUUGAUAGUUCCUUUACUACAUGGUAUAACUGUGGUAAUUCUAGAGCUAAUACAUGCUUAAAAUCUCGACCCUUUGGAAGAGAUGUAUUUAUUAGAUAAAAAAUCAAUGUCUUCGGACUCUUUGAUGAUUCAUAAUAACUUUUCGAAUCGCAUGGCCUUGUGCUGGCGAUGGUUCAUUCAAAUUUCUGCCCUAUCAACUUUCGAUGGUAGGAUAGUGGCCUACCAUGGUUUCAACGGGUAACGGGGAAUAAGGGUUCGAUUCCGGAGAGGGAGCCUGAGAAACGGCUACCACAUCCAAGGAAGGCAGCAGGCGCGCAAAUUACCCAAUCCUAAUUCAGGGAGGUAGUGACAAUAAAUAACGAUACAGGGCCCAUUCGGGUCUUGUAAUUGGAAUGAGUACAAUGUAAAUACCUUAACGAGGAACAAUUGGAGGGCAAGUCUGGUGCCAGCAGCCGCGGUAAUUCCAGCUCCAAUAGCGUAUAUUAAAGUUGUUGCAGUUAAAAAGCUCGUAGUUGAACUUUGGGCCCGGUUGGCCGGUCCGAUUUUUUCGUGUACUGGAUUUCCAACGGGGCCUUUCCUUCUGGCUAACCUUGAGUCCUUGUGGCUCUUGGCGAACCAGGACUUUUACUUUGAAAAAAUUAGAGUGUUCAAAGCAGGCGUAUUGCUCGAAUAUAUUAGCAUGGAAUAAUAGAAUAGGACGUUUGGUUCUAUUUUGUUGGUUUCUAGGACCAUCGUAAUGAUUAAUAGGGACGGUCGGGGGCAUCAGUAUUCAAUUGUCAGAGGUGAAAUUCUUGGAUUUAUUGAAGACUAACUACUGCGAAAGCAUUUGCCAAGGACGUUUUCAUUAAUCAAGAACGAAAGUUAGGGGAUCGAAGAUGAUCAGAUACCGUCGUAGUCUUAACCAUAAACUAUGCCGACUAGGGAUCGGGUGGUGUUUUUUUAAUGACCCACUCGGCACCUUACGAGAAAUCAAAGUCUUUGGGUCUGGGGGA
RNAcentral lists this ribosomal RNA (1042 nucleotides) under Saccharomyces cerevisiae (brewer's yeast). RNAcentral describes it as "SSU rRNA". It matches the Rfam family "Eukaryotic small subunit ribosomal RNA", at positions 70 to 1121 of the family's 1831-position model. Lineage: Eukaryota; Fungi; Ascomycota; Saccharomycetes; Saccharomycetales; Saccharomycetaceae. The record is from RNAcentral.